GGUUAAGUUAAUAAGGGCGCACGGUGGAUGCCUUGGCACUAGGAGCCGACGAAGGACGUGACAAACGACGAUAUGCCUUGGGUAGCUGUAAGUAAGCGAUGAUCCAGGGAUUUCCGAAUGGGGGAACCCAACAGGUAGUACCUGUUACCCACAUCUGUUAAGGAUGUGAGGAGGAAGACGCAGUGAACUGAAACAUCUAAGUAGCUGCAGGAAGAGAAAGCAAAAGCGAUUGCCUUAGUAGCGGCGAGCGAAACGGCAGAAGGGCAAACCGAAGAGUUUACUCUUCGGGGUUGUAGGACUGCAAUGUGGACUCAAAGAUUAUAGAAGAAUGAUUUGGGAAGAUCAGCCAAAGAGAGUAAUAGCCUCGUAUUUAAAAUAGUCUUUGUACCUAGCAGUAUCCUGAGUACGGCGGGACACGUGAAAUCCCGUCGGAAUCUGGGAGGACCAUCUCCCAACCCUAAAUACUCCCUAGUGACCGAUAGUGAACCAGUACCGUGAGGGAAAGGUGAAAAGCACCCCGGGAGGGGAGUGAAAUAGAACCUGAAACCGUGUGC
This 554-nucleotide ribosomal RNA is filed under the name Streptococcus pneumoniae. RNAcentral describes it as "partial 23S ribosomal RNA". It matches the Rfam family "Bacterial large subunit ribosomal RNA", at positions 1 to 563 of the family's 2925-position model. Lineage: Bacteria; Bacillati; Bacillota; Bacilli; Lactobacillales; Streptococcaceae. The record is from RNAcentral.